Long non-coding RNA from Oreochromis niloticus (Nile tilapia), 1198 nucleotides. RefSeq lists it as uncharacterized. Lineage: Eukaryota; Metazoa; Chordata; Actinopteri; Cichliformes; Cichlidae. The transcript is spliced from 3 exons. The record is from RefSeq and is a predicted model, not a curated record.
CUAGUUUGUCAUGAUCCUGGGUUUUUUACCCAGGGUUUUCAGUUUUGUACUGUGAGUCUUCUGUUUGAUUCUUUUUUUUGCAGUUUUCAGGCAAAUAUUACUUUUGCAUUGGUUGCUUUCUUUGUUCUCAGGUUUUUCCUUUCCUCCUAUGUUCUCUGUGCCUAGACUGUUUCUGUUAGGUCUCCUGUUUUUAGUUAGUUUUGUCUUUGUGUUUACUUUGGUCUGUCAAGUUUAAGUGUUUUAGUCCCUGUCUCAGCGUAUUAGGCUUCCUGUUUAAUGUUAUAGUCUCUCAUCUCAUGUGCAUUAUGUUCAGUUUUGCCUUCCCUCUUGGUCGUUAAUUGUUUCUGUUCACCUGUGCCUUGUUUUUACCCAGCUGCAUCUCUUUCCUUGAUUACCUCAUAUGUAUUUAAGCCCUCAGAUUUCCUUAGUUCUUUGUUGUGUUGUACUAUUUGUCCGAGUGAUCGCCUGCUUUCUUUCAUCACCUGGAUUUGUUAAAGUGCAUAGUGUGUUAUGUGUGUGCCAAAUGACGCAGCUCCCACAUGUUCCAGAUUAACCCAGUGCGCUCUUUUCCAGGAACUGCCUGCAUACUCUCAACUGUCCAUCACUGCUUUUGUUACUUGCUGAAGAUCAGGCCAGGUCUGCUGGGCUGGGGUCGGCAUGCGCUAAGCUUUAACAUCACUGUGGGUUCUUGGCUAACUUUGCAAAGAUCUGCACAGUCAGCAUGCUAACACAAAAAGCCCAAGUUCUGUUAGCAAUAUAAUGAAUUUGUUUCAGUCUUGGACACAUUUUUCACUUCACCAUUGUUCUCUUGUUCCUUUGUGCAGUAAAGAUAAAAAUAAUGUAAAAGCAGCAUUUUUUUUUUUAUCUGCCUGGCACACAAAACUGUAAUUACUGAAUUUAGUGCAGUAAUGUGUUACAUUACUGCUUUUACAAUCACACAUUACUUUAACAUUAUAAGUCAGAAAAGAUGAGAGGAAAAAUAUCAGUAGCCUUCGCCUGUAAAACCAUUCCUGUUUCGCUGGUUCUCAUUGUUGCCUCUGUUGCACCUGUUAUUAAUUAUAUUAACACCAAAAGAGCUGAGAGUGUUUAACAACCCUGUGCUACUUAACUCACCACAUCAAUAUCCCAGAUGUUUUCAGGGCUCUAGAGUGCGACCAAUUUGGUCGCAAAUGCGACCAAAUUUUUCAAUGGUGCGACU